RNAcentral lists this ribosomal RNA (495 nucleotides) under uncultured Bacillus sp. RNAcentral describes it as "bacterial SSU rRNA". It matches the Rfam family "Bacterial small subunit ribosomal RNA", at positions 49 to 526 of the family's 1533-position model. Lineage: Bacteria; Bacillati; Bacillota; Bacilli; Caryophanales; Bacillaceae. The record is from RNAcentral.
UAAUACAUGCAAGUCGAGCGGAUCUUUGAGAGCUUGCUCUCAAAGAUUAGCGGCGGACGGGUGAGUAACACGUGGGUAACCUGCCUGUAAGAUUGGGAUAACUCCGGGAAACCGGAGCUAAUACCGGAUAACAUUUUGAACCGCAUGGUUCGAAAUUGAAAGGUGGCUUUUGCUACCACUUACAGAUGGACCCGCGGCGCAUUAGCUAGUUGGUGAGGUAAUGGCUCACCAAGGCAACGAUGCGUAGCCGACCUGAGAGGGUGAUCGGCCACACUGGGACUGAGACACGGCCCAGACUCCUACGGGAGGCAGCAGUAGGGAAUCUUCCGCAAUGGACGAAAGUCUGACGGAGCAACGCCGCGUGAGUGAUGAAGGCCUUCGGGUCGUAAAGCUCUGUUGUUAGGGAAGAACAAGUACCGUUCAAAUAGGGCGGUACCAUGACGGUACCUAACCAGAAAGCCACGGCUAACUACGUGCCAGCAGCCGCGGUAAUAC